CUACUGGAAACGGUGGCUAAUACCGCAUAACGUCGCAAGACCAAAGAGGGGGACCUUCGGGCCUCUUGCCAUCAGAUGUGCCCAGAUGGGAUUAGCUUGUUGGUGAGGUAACGGCUCACCAAGGCGACGAUCCCUAGCUGGUCUGAGAGGAUGACCAGCCACACUGGAACUGAGACACGGUCCAGACUCCUACGGGAGGCAGCAGUGGGGAAUAUUGCACAAUGGGCGCAAGCCUGAUGCAGCCAUGCCGCGUGUAUGAAGAAGGCCUUCGGGUUGUAAAGUACUUUCAGCGGGGAGG
This 298-nucleotide ribosomal RNA is filed under the name Salmonella enterica. RNAcentral describes it as "partial 16S ribosomal RNA". It matches the Rfam family "Bacterial small subunit ribosomal RNA", at positions 147 to 447 of the family's 1533-position model. The record is from RNAcentral. RNAcentral also lists the same sequence under 3 other names. Lineage: Bacteria; Pseudomonadati; Pseudomonadota; Gammaproteobacteria; Enterobacterales; Enterobacteriaceae.